GACGAACGCUGGCGGCGUGCUUAACACAUGCAAGUCGAACGGAAAGGCCCUGCUUGCAGGGUACUCGAGUGGCGAACGGGUGAGUAACACGUGGGUGAUCUGCCCUGCACUUCGGGAUAAGCCUGGGAAACUGGGUCUAAUACCGGAUAGGAGCCAUUUUUAGUGUGAUGGUUGGAAAGUUUUUUCGGUGUAGGAUGGGCUCGCGGCCUAUCAGCUUGUUGGUGGGGUAAUGGCCUACCAAGGCGGCGACGGGUAGCCGGCCUGAGAGGGUGGACGGCCACAUUGGGACUGAGAUACGGCCCAGACUCCUACGGGAGGCAGCAGCGGGGAAUAUUGCACAAUGGGCGCAAGCCUGAUGCAGCGACGCCGCGUGGGGGAUGACGGCCUUCGGGUUGUAAACUCCUUUCGCUAGGGACGAAGCUUUUUGUGACGGUACCUAGAUAAGAAGCACCGGCUAACUACGUG
This 465-nucleotide ribosomal RNA is filed under the name uncultured bacterium. RNAcentral's name for it is "partial 16S ribosomal RNA". It matches the Rfam family "Bacterial small subunit ribosomal RNA", at positions 28 to 507 of the family's 1533-position model. The record is from RNAcentral.